CGUGCGUGUGUGCAUGCGUGCGUGUGUGUGUGCAUGCGUGCGUGUGUGCAUGUGUUUGUGUGUACAGUAAACAAUACCUGUACAUGUUCGUGUGUGUUUGUGACUCUGCGUCUGUUUACAAGGACCGGUUUUGUCUGCCUUGAGGGCAGGAAGCUUCAUGUGGGAACAAAACGAUGGACUAUUAACACCUUUUAUUGAAGAUCAGAUUUGUUAAUUGACAGUUCAGCCCAGUUAAUUUCCUCUUUGAACCCAGCAGAGCAUGCCUCUGCAUGAAGUACGAAGACGUAAGACUCCAAGACAUCUCUCUGUCUUCUUUUAUUCUGCUGUGCUGAGUACAGCUGAUAACAAGUCGAGCUUCUAUGCUGGCGUUAUUGCAUGAAGAGCCUCAGACGCGGUGUGGAAGUAGAUUGUGCUCAAAGUAUUUUUUCUUUAUUAUAAAUCUUGUACAUCGGCCUCUAUUUUGUAUUUUGAAAUCAGUACAAGUUAGGGAGUACACCGUUGUCUCAUAUCAGCACAUAGCUGACCAACGGGAACAAAAAAAAAAGACCAGAGUGGUGCCCAGAAAAGUUACAAAAGACUAACAACAGCAGAAUUUACUGCCAAGCUCCCUAAAAUAAUAUCACUGUGUGGAACAGCAAAUCCCCUCUGCAGAAAGAAGAGACUGUACUCUGUCAUUGUUAGCGAGGGAAUCCUGCCCGUCAGCAUAUCGGUGGCAGCAAGGACCCCGGACUGCUCCCACAGCCCUGGUGGUCCUGGGAUCAUCACCUCAAAGCAGCCAUGACAGAGCAUGUUUAGAAAGAUCCACCUGAGAUGAACAACAGAAGCAAAGUGAUGAUUGGUCACUGUGGUAGCAGCGCCCCAAACCUUCUUAUCAUCUUCUUUAACCUUCAUGAAACUUUUAUUAGCAAGACUAACAUCAAACUGUAUUGCAGAUGUAACCCGCAAUCGAAAUCACAAACACGUUCAUAAAAAGCUUACUGAGAUGAAGCGAGAGACACAUUCACUUAUUCCUUCUCUUCCAUACAGUCAUACCGUUCUCAUGUGUGUCGCCCCCUGCAGGCUGUUGCAAGUCAUAAAGAAUUAAUGCACUUGAACUCAGGCUCCACUUUUUUUUAUAAACAUAUUUUUAUUGAAUUUCACAUUCAUCAGGACAUGUACAAUAUAUGUAUGUAACAAAAGUAUGACAUAAAACAACCCUCCCAAAAUAGAACAUGUGGCAGUAACAAUAAUAAUAACACAAGAAUAAUAAAAGUAAUUUGUACAAUACAAAUGACAAAAUAAAUAAGUGAAAUAAUAAACAUAAACAGUCACAUUUGACACAUAUUUCUUGCACUAGUAACAUCAGCAUUUUUAACAAAUUCCAAAAACAACUCCCAAGUUUUACCAAAUUCUGAAGCUUUCUUCCUAACUAUAUAUGUAAGUUUUUCAAGAGCCAGACUUGCUGAUAAUUCUUUUUAACCAACGUCCAACAGGCUCCACUUUUAAGUCCAAGAGGCUACAUUCACUUCUUAUGACAAUCUGUGGUGUUUGCGGGUGUAUGGAUAGAGAAGAAAUAAGGCAGGUUGAGAGAUUCAUUCAUUUAGAGAUUUGUGUUUAAAGAUCCGUCUGCUACAGUAAACAUAUUCCCUGCAUGAUGGGAAGGGGCAAAUGAUUUUCUGCAUCUCCCUUCUGCAGCCAAUACCUGCCAUCAUUUACUACAUUUUAUUUCCAGUUAAUAUUGCAGUUUAUAAGUUGAAUAAAGACAGUGUUUGCUUAGGUUCAGAGUAAAGGAAGCCAAAAAAUGUCCUCCCCGUUCCAGUUGACAGCAGAGAAGCAGGAGGUAGGUCUUAAUCUAGAAAUGCUAAAUACCUGCAUUACAUUGGUUAAUACAUGUACUGUUAUGUAGGCUAAUCCGCAGCAGCACUGUCCGCUGUAAGAGAGCCACGUUGUGCUCAGCAGGAGCCUGCAUGCUGGCUGGACGCUAAUAGACUACAGGAUCAUUCAGAAGACUAUUCCUGGAUAUUUCGAGAGAAAUUACACACACACAGAAAAACAAAAAAAAAAGGGAGCCACCAUCAGUCUUCGGUAACCAUUUGACACCUGGGCUCUUGGCUGACUGCUAUUUUGCGACACACACACACAAGGGCAUUUGGGCCUCUUUUGGCUCUUCAGACACGUCAUAUUGUAGAAUCAUAUACACACACACACAC
Molecule: long non-coding RNA, 2189 nt
Organism: Labrus mixtus (cuckoo wrasse)
Lineage: Eukaryota; Metazoa; Chordata; Actinopteri; Labriformes; Labridae
Exons: 2
Source: RefSeq, a predicted model, not a curated record